This 117-nucleotide ribosomal RNA is filed under the name Oscillospiraceae bacterium. The record is from RNAcentral. Lineage: Bacteria; Bacillati; Bacillota; Clostridia; Eubacteriales; Oscillospiraceae.
GGCAGUGAUGAUUACGCAGAGGCCACACCCGUUCCCAUUCCGAACACGGCAGUUAAGCUCUGUAGUGCCCAAAAUACUUGGCUGGUGACGGCCCGGGAAGAUAGGAAGUUGCUGCCA